Solea senegalensis (Senegalese sole) is the source of this 2892-nucleotide long non-coding RNA. RefSeq lists it as uncharacterized. The transcript is spliced from 2 exons. NCBI's taxonomy places the organism in Eukaryota, Metazoa, Chordata, Actinopteri, Pleuronectiformes, Soleidae. The record is from RefSeq and is a predicted model, not a curated record.
GAUGAGUUGGACUCAGAUUUGGCACAGCUGGGAUCUCUUGGAUUCACCGGCUGUCUCUCAGUCGUCCGUUUCAACUCCAUCAGCCCUCUGAAAGCUGCUCUGCUCCACCCGGACACCAGCCCGGUUGUCAUCAGCGGACCUUUGGUCCAGUCCACCUGUGGUUCCUCGACUUCAGCCGAUCCAUACGCAGCCGAGAACAAACGCCACCUGUCAGGUGUGAUAGCCGUGGUGAUCUUCGUGGUUGCGACCGGCCUGGCGAUCACCGCCAGAUUCUUGUACCGGCGAAAAGGGACGUAUCGGAAUCGGGAAGUGAAGGGAGUCAAACAGGAGGACAGUCCAGAUUUUCCUUUCAACAACCAGACUGACUCCCAGAGAGUGUCCUGUGAAAACCAGAAGGAGUAUUUCAUCUAAGUGCAGGGGGCGAGGACCCGGCAACCUGAUGAACCUGAAGCAGAGGAUUCAGACGGGGUUUGUCCACGUCACACUGCACUGAGAGAGACGCUGGAUACUUCACUGAGAGCUUUAAAAUAGGAGAGAAAAUAGAAAGAAAAUGGGUCUUUUUCUGUAUAUUGUGUAUAUAUUGAUACAAACAGGCAACAAAACUGGACUCAUGAGGUCUUGAUAGUCCUUGUAAAUAUGAACUGUAAAUAUGAAAAACCAGCUGGCGUCUCGUCCACGUCACUGUCAAAUUUACUGGAAAACUCGUUUGGUUUUGUACAUUAUUCCAAGCACAACUUUGUGUCCUGUUUCCGGUGACAUGGGGGGCAAAGCGAGUCAUUUUACUGCAGCCCUGACACAAGGGUCAUGGUUGGACACCUGUUCUCUCCACCCAAUGCCACGAGCUUGCUUCAUUUUGGUUUAAAGGGAUCCCUCGGGUUCCCUUUUUGCCGGGAGCCCCCUACAGUCUCUUUUAUUAUUAUAAUAACCUUUAUUUAACCAGGAAUAAAAAAACUCAUUGAAUCUCUUUUAUAAGAGUGUCUUGGUCAAGACAGGCAGCAGUACAUAUACAACCACUCAAACAUACACAAACAAAAUAAAUAUUCAUAAAAAAAAAUACUUAAAAUACACAGGGUGUGUGAUUUAAACUCACAAUCAGGAAAUGAUUCAAUGAAAUCAAACUGCAUUUAGGCAAAACGUCUGCAGCCAUUUGAUUCUGCCUCCAAUUCAUUUAAAAAAUAUUUAAAAAAUGUCCAAUCAGACCAGAUUUUUCAGUUUCAGACACUCUUGUAGUUUGUUCCAGGAACUGUACCUUGGAAGUGACAACACGUCGAGGACAUGACGUGCUUCUAAUGUCCCUGAUCAUUGUGCUCGGAAACGUCACUGGAGUCAUUUUGCUGAUGCACUUUUCUGUGAGGAUGAACCAAGUCCAACUAAGCGUAACCAUGCAGGAGUAAUCGGACUAUGAAUUGUAUUAUCCAGACUUUUCAAUAGCUUUGAUUGAUUUUUCCAAUUUAUUUCCAUUGUUCUUCUCUCCUCUUACUGCACUUCUUUCUUUUUCUUGUAAUAGGAAAGCACAAGAAAAGCAGAUUGGGGGGAAAAAAAACAUCCAUGAGCAUUUAACUUUGUUAGAUCCACUCCAGUUUUCAAUUCCAAACUCCAGUUUCUUUUCUUGUCCCUGAAGCGUGCAACUGCUGGAAACAACCUGCCAGCUUUCUAUAGGUGGAUUUGAAUCAUGAAGAAAAGGAUUCUUUGAUUCUUCAAAUACGCAUAUUAGAUAGAAAGAUGCAGGCUCCCCUUUGUGGAACUUGAAAAUAAAUCACUAGGACUCAUGUAAGCGAGUGAGGCAACACUUAAAAGCCACUCAGGCCACAUGAAAUUUUAAUGAUUUUCCCCCUUCACAAUUAUCGCAAUCACAGAAAUGGAACUAAAUGCUACUGAUCGCGAAAAAAUUGCACAUGGUUUAUUCCUGCUUAGCAUAAACGAGCCUGAAUGUCCCUGAAGCUUUUAGCAGCUCAGGCUGCUGUAACUCGGUGUCUGUCUGUCACCUCCAUCACGACGUGCAGAGAUGGUUAAUGUGCUUUUGAAAUGCUAAUCCACCUCAGUCUGACAGGUGGAUUGUGACUCGGUAGAAAGCAGCAACGUGAUCAAAACGAGACUGGGAGAUGAUCCAAGAGGCAGAGUGUCGAGCAGACGUAAAGUGUAUUGAAAACAUGUAAGAUAAGUCGCCGGGAUGAAGCGAAUGCCGCCGCGUGUUAAUUCAGUUCGCGCGUAAAGAGCAGAAAGAGGAUCGACAGCAGCUGUUCAUCAAGUAUUCCUUCAAUGUUUCUCCGAAGAGCUGAUGGGAUUUUAAUGGAAAAAAGAUGUUUGAAUUUUAAAGUGCAUCCGUCAUCCCUUUGUUUUUGUUUUCUUUUAAAAGUAAUCAUUUUCUCUUGAGGAGCUGCUGUGGUUUAAAAAAGUGACUUCACUUGUUAUUGUACUUUAGCUUUACCAAAAAUGAAAACCCCUAUGAUGUUUUUCAUCUACAGAUUCCACCGGCAACUGUGUCAGACCACUCGCAUUUAGUUCAUGUUUUUACACAGCGUUUUUUUUCCUUUGAAAAUGCCAGAAAACACUUUUAAAUCCUGCAUUCAUAUUUAUGGGAUUCAGAAAGAGCACGUUGUUUAUAGUUUGUAACAUAACGACAAAUAUAGAUGUUACAACUGAGGUGUAAGGUGAUUCUCUUCUUGAAAUCCUUGAGCGUUUGUGAACGUCGCCCCUUUCAUUGAAAGAGCUUGGUGUGUAUUUCCUGCACCUCAAGAGCUGUAAAGGUUACAACAUAAAUGCUCUUUUAAAAUCUGGCAGUUCUCAAUGAUUUAUGAUAAUAGGUCUGAGUCCUGGGAGCUAUAACAUGCAUUUCACAUUUUCAAAAAGUGGUUUACGACACAAAUAAAGAAGUUUUUUCUGGUCUGUGAA